Unclassified non-coding RNA from Gorilla gorilla gorilla (western lowland gorilla), 96 nucleotides. It matches the Rfam family "Y RNA". Rfam says of the family: Y RNAs are components of the Ro ribonucleoprotein particle (Ro RNP), in association with Ro60 and La proteins. The Y RNAs and Ro60 and La proteins are well conserved, but the function of the Ro RNP is not known. In humans the RNA component can be one of four small RNAs -- hY1, hY3, hY4 and hY5. The record is from Ensembl. Lineage: Eukaryota; Metazoa; Chordata; Mammalia; Primates; Hominidae.
GGCUGGUCCGAUGGUAGUGGGUUAUCAGAACUUAUUAACAUUUGUGUCACUAAAAUUGGUAUACAACCUCCCACUGCUAUAUUUGACUGGCUAAAA